RNAcentral lists this ribosomal RNA (426 nucleotides) under uncultured prokaryote. RNAcentral describes it as "bacterial SSU rRNA". It matches the Rfam family "Bacterial small subunit ribosomal RNA", at positions 355 to 796 of the family's 1533-position model. The record is from RNAcentral.
UGGGGAAUUUUCCGCAAUGGGGGGAACCCUGACGGAGCAACGCCGCGUGCGGGAGGACGGCCUGUGGGUUGUAAACCGCUUUUCUCUAGGAAGAAGGUCUGACGGUACUAGAGGAAUCAGCAUCGGCUAACUCCGUGCCCGCAGCCGCGGUAAGACGGAGGAUGCAUGCAUUAUCCGGAAUGAUUGGGCGUAAAGCGUCUGCAGGUGGCUAUGCAAGUCUGCUGUUAAAGAGUGGAGCUCAACUCCUUAAGGGCAGUGGAAACUGCGUAACUAGAGUACGUUCGGGGUAGAGGGAAUUCCUGGUGUAGCGGUGAAAUGCGUAGAUAUCAGGAAGAACACCGGUGGCGAAAGCGCUCUACUAGGCCGUAACUGACACUGAGAGACGAAAGCUAAGGGAGCGAAUGGGAUUAGAUACCCGUGUAGUCC